This 253-nucleotide ribosomal RNA is filed under the name uncultured bacterium. Its description in RNAcentral is "partial 16S ribosomal RNA". It matches the Rfam family "Bacterial small subunit ribosomal RNA", at positions 524 to 776 of the family's 1533-position model. The record is from RNAcentral.
UACGUAGGGCGCGAGCGUUGUCCGGAAUUAUUGGGCGUAAAGAGCUCGUAGGCGGCUUGUCGCGUCGUCCGUGAAAACCUGCGGCUCAACUGCAGGCUGGCGGUCGAUACGGGCAGGCUGGAGUUCGGUAGGGGAGACUGGAAUUCCUGGUGUAGCGGUGAAAUGCGCAGAUAUCAGGAGGAACACCGGUGGCGAAGGCGGCCAACUGGACGAACACUGACGCUGAGACUCGAAAGCGUGGGGAGCAAACAGG